CUCCCUGACUUCAUACAGGCCUUCCCAGUUAGGGGCGAGCUUCCCUUGAUUCUGAGGUUGUGAGACAGCAGCUCGUCGAAGCACUAAGUCCCCCACUCUGAAGGCCUUGCUCUUGACUCGGGAAUUGUAAUAGCGGGCCACUUUCUGCCUGUAGGCGGCCAUCCGAACUUGAGCUGUCUCCCGCAUCUCUUCUAACAAGUCGAGGUUGGCUUUGAGAUCCUGCGAGUUG
RNAcentral lists this long non-coding RNA (229 nucleotides) under Elaeis guineensis (African oil palm). Its description in RNAcentral is "long non-coding RNA (EGUI_LNC081348)". The record is from RNAcentral. Lineage: Eukaryota; Viridiplantae; Streptophyta; Magnoliopsida; Arecales; Arecaceae.